RNAcentral lists this ribosomal RNA (490 nucleotides) under uncultured bacterium. RNAcentral describes it as "partial 16S ribosomal RNA". It matches the Rfam family "Bacterial small subunit ribosomal RNA", at positions 28 to 507 of the family's 1533-position model. The record is from RNAcentral.
GAUGAACGCUAGCUACAGGCUUAACACAUGCAAGUCGAGGGGCAGCAUGGUCUUAGCUUGCUAAGGCCGAUGGCGACCGGCGCACGGGUGAGUAACACGUAUCCAACCUGCCGUCUACUCUUGGACAGCCUUCUGAAAGGAAGAUUAAUACAAGAUGGCAUCAUGAGUCCGCAUGUUCACAUGAUUAAAGGUAUUCCGGUAGACGAUGGGGAUGCGUUCCAUUAGAUAGUAGGCGGGGUAACGGCCCACCUAGUCUUCGAUGGAUAGGGGUUCUGAGAGGAAGGUCCCCCACAUUGGAACUGAGACACGGUCCAAACUCCUACGGGAGGCAGCAGUGAGGAAUAGUGAUCAAUGGGCGAGAGCCUGAACCAGCCAAGUAGCGUGAAGGAUGACUGCCCUAUGGGUGGUAAACUUCUUUUAUAAAGGAAUAAAGUCGGGUAUGGAUACCCGUUUGCAUGUACUUUAUGAAUAAGGAUCGGCUAACUCCGUG